UACAGAGGGUGCAAGCGUUGUUCGGAAUCAUUGGGCGUAAAGCGCGUGUAGGCGGCCUUUUAAGUCUGGUGUGAAAUCCCGGGGCUCAACCCCGGAAGUGCACUGGAUACUGGAUGGCUAGAGGAUGAGAGAGGAGAGUGGAAUUCAUGGUGUAGGGGUGAAAUCCGUAGAUAUCAUGAGGAACAUCUGAGGCGAAGGCGACUCUCUGGCUCAUUUCUGACGCUGAGACGCGAAAGCGUGGGGAGCAAACAGG
RNAcentral lists this ribosomal RNA (253 nucleotides) under uncultured bacterium. Its description in RNAcentral is "partial 16S ribosomal RNA". It matches the Rfam family "Bacterial small subunit ribosomal RNA", at positions 524 to 776 of the family's 1533-position model. The record is from RNAcentral.